AGCGGUAGUUUCCUAAUUGGUAAAGGUUGUAGGUUUAACCUACAUUAUAAGGUUCGAGUCCUUCGCCGCUAC
This 72-nucleotide transfer RNA is filed under the name Mannheimia haemolytica. Its description in RNAcentral is "tRNA-Stop(tta)". The record is from RNAcentral. Lineage: Bacteria; Pseudomonadati; Pseudomonadota; Gammaproteobacteria; Pasteurellales; Pasteurellaceae.